RNAcentral lists this ribosomal RNA (449 nucleotides) under uncultured bacterium. RNAcentral describes it as "partial 16S ribosomal RNA". It matches the Rfam family "Bacterial small subunit ribosomal RNA", at positions 29 to 523 of the family's 1533-position model. The record is from RNAcentral.
AGCGAACGCUGGCGGCAGGCUUAACGCAUGCAAGUCGAGCGGGCCCUUCGGGGUCAGCGGCGGACGGGUGAGUAACGCGUGGGAACGAGCCCUCUGGUCUGGAAUAACCCUGGGAAACUAGGGCUAAUACCGGAUACGCCCUUUUGGGGAAAGGCUUGCUGCCGGAGGAUCGGCCCGCGUCUGAUUAGCUAGUUGGUGGAGUAACGGCCUACCAAGGCGACGAUCAGUAGCUGGUCUGAGAGGAUGAUCAGCCACACUGGGACUGAGACACGGCCCAGACUCCUACGGGAGGCAGCAGUGGGGAAUAUUGGACAAUGGGCGCAAGCCUGAUCCAGCCAUGCCGCGUGAGUGAUGAAGGCCUUAGGGUUGUAAAGCUCUUUUAUCCGGGACGAUAAUGACGGUACCGGAGGAAUAAGCCCCGGCUAACUUCGUGCCAGCAGCCGCAGUAA